GCCGAUGACCAAAUCACUCCGAGUUGUGCUGAUCUUAUCCCAUCUCAAAAGUUACGCAGGGUUGAGCCACGUGGUACUUGGAUGGGAGACUUCCUGGGUAUAUCGGGUGUUGCAGGCU
RNAcentral lists this ribosomal RNA (118 nucleotides) under Petromyzon marinus (sea lamprey). The record is from RNAcentral. Lineage: Eukaryota; Metazoa; Chordata; Hyperoartia; Petromyzontiformes; Petromyzontidae.